UGAACCUAUUUUGCGUUGAGCCGGACAGGA
This 30-nucleotide non-coding RNA is filed under the name Mus musculus (house mouse). The record is from RNAcentral. Lineage: Eukaryota; Metazoa; Chordata; Mammalia; Rodentia; Muridae.